RNAcentral lists this ribosomal RNA (364 nucleotides) under uncultured eukaryote. RNAcentral's name for it is "partial 18S ribosomal RNA". It matches the Rfam family "Eukaryotic small subunit ribosomal RNA", at positions 592 to 976 of the family's 1831-position model. The record is from RNAcentral.
CAAAAGCGUAUAUUAAAGUUGUUGCAGUUAAAAAGCUCGUAGUUGAACCUUGGGCUUGGCUGGCCGGUCCAUCUUUUUUGAUGCGUACUGGACCCAGCCGAGCCUUUCCUUCUGGCUAGCCUUUUGGCGAACCAGGACUUUUACUUUGAAAAAAUUAGAGUGUUCAAAGCAGGCCUUUGCUCGAAUAUAUUAGCAUGGAAUAAUAGAAUAGGACGUUAUGGUUCUAUUUUGUUGGUUUCUAGGACCAUCGUAAUGAUUAAUAGGGACGGUCGGGGGUAUCAGUAUUCAGUUGUCAGAGGUGAAAUUCUUGGAUUUACUGAAGACUAACUACUGCGAAAGCAUUUGCCAAGGACGUUUUCAUUAA